RNAcentral lists this ribosomal RNA (301 nucleotides) under uncultured bacterium. RNAcentral describes it as "partial 16S ribosomal RNA". It matches the Rfam family "Bacterial small subunit ribosomal RNA", at positions 509 to 809 of the family's 1533-position model. The record is from RNAcentral.
CAGUCGCCGCGGUAAUACGUAGGGUGCGAGCGUUAAUCGGAAUUACUGGGCGUAAAGCGUGCGCAGGCGGUUCGUUAAGACAGAUGUGAAAUCCCCGGGCUUAACCUGGGAACUGCAUUUGUGACUGGCGAGCUAGAGUAUGGCAGAGGGGGGUAGAAUUCCACGUGUAGCAGUGAAAUGCGUAGAGAUGUGGAGGAAUACCGAUGGCGAAGGCAGCCCCCUGGGCCAAUACUGACGCUCAUGCACGAAAGCGUGGGGAGCAAACAGGAUUAGAUACCCCUGUAGUCCCUGUCUCUUAUAA